Molecule: ribosomal RNA, 255 nt
Filed under: uncultured bacterium
Lineage: Bacteria
Description: partial 16S ribosomal RNA
Rfam family: Bacterial small subunit ribosomal RNA
Source: RNAcentral
UACGGGGGGGAGCAAGCGUUGUUCGGAUUUACUGGGCGUAAAGGGCGCGUAGGCGGCGUGACAAGUCACUUGUGAAAUCUCCGGGGCUUAACUCGGAACGGUCAAGUGAUACUGUCGUGCUAGAGUACAGAAGGGGCAACUGGAAUUCUCGGUGUAGCGGUGAAAUGCGUAGAUAUCGAGAGGAACACCUGCGGCGAAGGCGGGUUGCUGGGCUGAUACUGACGCUGAGGCGCGAAAGCUAGGGGAGCGAACGGG